GAGGUGAAGAAAGAUAGAAUACGCAAAGCUUCAGCUCAUGGGAAGUUACCCGGUUGGAACUUGAGCUCUGUAAGUUCUGUGUUUAUAUAUUAGUUUCCCUAGCUUUAGCAACCAAGGAUUGUUGUUAUGUACCCUAGCAAAUCAUGGAUGUUAAGGUUGGCUGUAUGGUUUACAAUCUCAUGUCAUCUUCAACUUGACAUUGGAAUCAAAAGCCAAAAGGCAUAUUGGGACUACAUUUGUACCCCUUAUUGGUAUUUCUUGAUCACUUGCUAGUGGUUAUGAUUGAUUUCACAUUCACCGACCA
RNAcentral lists this long non-coding RNA (304 nucleotides) under Linum usitatissimum (flax). Its description in RNAcentral is "long non-coding RNA (LUSI_LNC000949)". Lineage: Eukaryota; Viridiplantae; Streptophyta; Magnoliopsida; Malpighiales; Linaceae. The record is from RNAcentral.